GCUACGGGAGGCAGCAGUGAGGAAUAUUGGUCAAUGGGCUUACGCCUGAACCAGCCAAGUCGCGUGAGGGAAGACUGCCCUAUGGGUUGUAAACCUCUUUUGUCAGGGAGCAACGCCGGCUACGUGUAGCCGGACUGAGAGUACCUGAAGAAAAAGCAUCGGCUAACUCCGUGCCAGCAGCCGCGGUAAUACGGAGGAUGCGAGCGUUAUCCGGAUUUAUUGGGUUUAAAGGGUGCGUAGGCGGAAUGCCAAGUCAGCGGUAAAAUCGCGGGGCUCAACCUCGCUCCGCCGUUGAAACUGGCGUUCUUGAGUGGGCGAGAAGUAUGCGGAAUUCCUAGUGUAGCGGUGAAAUGCGUAGAUAUUAGGAGGAACACCAGUGGCGAAGGCGGUCUGCUGGACAGCAACUGACGCUGAGGCGCGAAAGCGUGGGGAGCAAACAGGAUUAGAUACCCGGGUAGUC
Molecule: ribosomal RNA, 460 nt
Filed under: uncultured bacterium
Lineage: Bacteria
Description: partial 16S ribosomal RNA
Rfam family: Bacterial small subunit ribosomal RNA
Source: RNAcentral